This 269-nucleotide long non-coding RNA is filed under the name Ananas comosus (pineapple). RNAcentral describes it as "long non-coding RNA (ACOM_LNC043916)". The record is from RNAcentral. Lineage: Eukaryota; Viridiplantae; Streptophyta; Magnoliopsida; Poales; Bromeliaceae.
GUUGUGGAUUUAGUUUUGGUGGUUUAUCUUUAUUAUGUUGACUCUUUAAUUAUGAAAAAUUUAUUAAUUUGAUAUCAUGAAAAUUUAGGACGGUAAAAUAUUUUUAUAUUAUGAAAUUUAUUCGCUUUAAGACUUUAAAUAUUUUUAUUGUAUUUUGUGAUAUUUUAAGCAGUGAAUUAUGUUACGCUUUUAAAAAUUUUAUAUAUGUAUUUUGUAUUUAGAAAGUAUAGAAGCAAAAAAGGAAAAAAAAAUUUAUGGGUAACCCGCAU